GACGGCGGGGGCUAGCGUUGUUCGGAAUUACUGGGCGUAAAGGGCGCGCAGGCGGCUGCUCAAGUCAGGCGUGAAAGGCCUGGGCUCAACCCGGGAAUUGCGCUUGAGACUGGGCUGGCUUGAGUGCGGGAGAGGAUGGUUGAAUUCCCAGUGUAGAGGUGAAAUUCGUAGAUAUUGGGAAGAACACCGGUGGCGAAGGCGGCCAUCUGGACCGCAACUGACGCUGAGGCGCGAAAGCGUGGGGAGCAAACAGG
Molecule: ribosomal RNA, 254 nt
Filed under: uncultured bacterium
Lineage: Bacteria
Description: partial 16S ribosomal RNA
Rfam family: Bacterial small subunit ribosomal RNA
Source: RNAcentral